CCCUCCUAUGCUCACUAAUUAAUUCAAAAAUUUUAUAGUUCCCUCCUAUACGCACAAAUUAAUUCAAGUUUCUUCAAGAAUCAAGACUUCACACCUGCUACUUCAAUGAAGAUAUAAACUUGCUGAAGAAAGAUGCUCGAAAUACUUCGUUGGAAUUAAUCCCCACGGUUGUCUCAUGAACGGAGACCUCCGACGUCUCUUGCUACUUUCAGUUUCAACCAGACGGCCUUCCUUUUGUCAGUGUUCUUUCCGUCGGUUAACUGUUCGACGAAAUGACAAUUAGAAACUUUUUUAAAAAAUUAGGGUUUUUAUUUUUUCAGUUUCGAAAUACUCCGAGUUCAUAAAUCAAAUGACAAAAUUGUUUAUAUGAUAAGAAAUCACAUACAGUUUUAAUGGUUGUUCUUGAUUUGCUAUAACUGAAUUAGUUGGGUGUUUUUUAUUGUUUAUUUAUUUAUUUUUUUUUAAGGUGAAGGUGCUAAAUGAUUCAAGUCCUAUUAUCGGACCAUAAUAUUUCUGAGUCUUUUGUCAAUACUUUGUCCUUUCUGCUUUUCCAUACAGGGGAGUUCAUAUUUCCAUACAGGGGAGUUCAUAAAACAUUGCUUUUCUAUACAGGUGAGUUCAUAAAACAUAAUUAUAUAUGGUUUUCAACCACAUUAAUCUUUCAUUUUUUUGUGUCAGAUUUUAUAUAACUAAAUCUAGUGCAGUGUUAAUGAAGGAUAUCUAAGUAGGGGUGAGCAAAAGGAAAAACCCGACCCUACCCGACCAUUACCCGACCCGACCCGAGAACCGAUCAAACAUAAAAUAUAGAACCGAUUCACUACCCUAAAUAUAGGGUCGGUUCCGGUCCAUAGGUCAAAGUCGGGUUUCACCAUGAAAAGAACCGCGAACCGACCCGACCCUAUUUUAUAUGAAAAAUUGGAACCGAUCUAAAUACCUAGGUACUUAGGUUCGGGUCGGGUUGGGUAUUUUUCGGUUCGAUUCUCGGUUAUUUUCAGUCCGGACCUAAACUUGCUCACCCCUAUAUCUAAGAUGCACAAUUUCGAGCGUUGCAACACCAAUACUGUUCUAGUGCAACAUUAGAGAAUUUCUAUGUUUGGGAUCUUGGUUUACUUCAAUGCCCCUCAGGUUAGUCUUGAAAUUAAAUAUCCAAACAAAUUCUUAAAUUUAUAGAUUCCAUUUGUGUUGUGAUUUUCGUUUCUGGCUAAUGAUUCCAUUUCAUGUCAGUAAUUGUUUGAUACUGGACAAAAUAUGAGAAGGAGAUCCUUAGCGGGUCAAGUAAACUUCUAACUGAAGA
Long non-coding RNA from Helianthus annuus (common sunflower), 1294 nucleotides. RefSeq lists it as uncharacterized. Lineage: Eukaryota; Viridiplantae; Streptophyta; Magnoliopsida; Asterales; Asteraceae. The record is from RefSeq and is a predicted model, not a curated record. The transcript is spliced from 2 exons.